CCUCCGUCCCACGCCUCCGACCUCCUCUCCCGCGCGUGCGUGCAGCGCCCGGGCUCCGCGGCGGACGUGGAGGAGCCGGCGGCGGGCUGCGGGGACCCGGGGCCGCGGGGGCGCCUGUCAGCCGAUGCGCGCUGAUCCUGCUGUCCGGGGAAAGCAAGACGGGGGUGCAGCUUGGGCGGAACGUAAACCGCUGGGUGGGCAGGGGCUGACCUGCCGAGCGCGGAGUGGGUCUCUAACACCCGGCGGGCGCCACACGUGUGCUUAGGGCAGCCCCGCCCGGGCGCCGAGCGCUGCUGAGCGCCAGCGCUUUGCGGGAGCGGGAGCGGGAGCGGUUGCACGCUGAGCCUCAGCGGAGCCGGACGAGGUAGGUCCCGUCGUCGCUCCCGGUCUGGGCGGACAGACUCGGCGGGACUCGCCCCCCCCCCCAGGCGCAGGUGGGAAGGAGCACGUGCAGGAGCGCGCAGCUGUCGGACCCGAGCCGGAGCGCCGGCCCGCGUGCGUCGGCUGUGCGGGGCCGGCUGAGCACACGCGGGAGGCGUGGCGCCCUAACCCCGGCUCCGGGCCGCCCGCUGCCGUCCGCGCCGUCCGGUCCCGCUCGUCCUGGAACGGCUCCGUCUUGGGGAGCUGAACGGGCGCUCCUGGGCCGUCACUUGGUGUGAGGACGAUGACGACGACGACGAUGAUGAUUUUCCCCUUAAAGGGUGGGGAGGGACCUGAAACUGGCAAAGACGGGUUUCCGUGGUGCAAACCCGUUGGUUAAAGCCCCCGGAGCUGGACACCCGGCCCCGCGGCUCUCGGGCUGGGCCCCGAGCGAACGAACGCCCUGCGGACGCUCAGCACAGCCCUGUUAGGAAGACUCUACUGUCACUUUACACUUGAGGACACCCGAGGCUCAGAUUGAGAAAUUUGCCCCUGAAUCUUCACGAGCACCAAGUACAAGCACAACAAGCACGAGACCUAGGCAAAUCUGUGCUCCCCGUUAAAAAAAAAAAAACCUGGGAGCUAGGAUAGGGCAAUCAGGGAUGACAAGGUGGUAUUUUAGCAAAGUUUCCUUUAAAAAAAACCUCUUUUCAUUAUUCAUGGGGUUGGGAGAGUUAGCCCCUCCGCCACCAGGCUGGUUAAAAUGAAAAUGAAAACAAAACCGCUGCCAUUGAUUGUGAAUUACCACGUUUUAAGAUUAUUUUUUGACUGGUUACUUUUUUUUUUUAUCUCUCUCUCUCUCUCUCCCUGAUCCCAAGUUAUAAUGAAUUUUCCAAAGAAUCUUAACAGUUUAAACUCUGGGGGGCAUUGUCACUCCCCCGCCUCCCCGGUUUUUGUUGCAAAACAACUUGUGAUGGACCAUCACUGCCGGAGCAUACAAAAAUAUACAUCGUCGCGAGGGUUAAAGGAGACGGUGGAUAUUGAAAGUGCCUGACGAAAUGGGAGAAGGCUUGCGUGAUUGGCAUUAUUGAGUUGCAAUUAGAAAAGAAACUAUUUUAAUAACCUGAGGUCAUCGAGAAAUGACACUGCAGAGUGAUUGGAAUCAGAAAAUUGAACAGUGUUGCAGGUACUGAAUGAUGUAAACAUGCUGAUAGCCACAAAAGUGAUAAUUGACUCCACUACAAGAAAUGUUAAACUCUUUCAGAUGGAAGGGAAAUGAUAUCAGAUAGAAAUAGAGACCUACACAAAGGAAUGAUGAACACUGGAAAAGGUAAUCAGAUGGGUAAAUGUAUUUCCACAAGAAAAGACAGCAUAUAUUCCUACAGAGAUCUGAACAUGAAUAUUCAUUAUUUUUAAGUCUCCAAUGUGAAACAACCCAAAUGUCCACCAACAGAUAAAUGGAUAAAUUGUGAUAUAUUCAUAUAAUGGAAUACUAUUCAGCAAUAAAAGUGUAGCUCUGUCUGCUGAAACUAAGAAAUUGAACAUGCGACCUUGGAGGAUCUUUUCAGGCUAAUACUAAACCCAGUAACUUAUCUACACACUUGAUGUCCCUAUGAUGCACAGCUCCAUUGGGCACUAUUUACAUUGUAAUGUAUGUAAAUGGCAUUUCCUGAAGCAGGAUUAAGAAGCUCCAGACUAUAUCUUCCAGGAAGACAGGCCUAUAUCUUUUUUCAGUUGACUCCAGCACCUAACAAGUGUUUGACACAUAAAAGAUGUUCAAUUAGUAUUUGGAUUGGUUCCUGGAAGUGGAACUACUGUAUCAAAGAUUUGGACAUUUUUAAGACCCAAGAAAGGUAAUAUAGUAAUAAACGUGAUUGUAAAUUUGAACACCUUCUUAGCAACACUAGUUACUAACACUUAUCUUCAAUCUUUGUCAAUCUGAUGGGGAGACUCCGUGUGUAAUUGAAUUUGAUAAAAUUGCAUUUUUGCUCAUAUACUCACAUUAAUAACUUUACUGCCCCAAAGAUCUAAUAUUCUUUGUCUUCUCUGUGCUCAGCCGGUGAGAAAUGUAUUUUUUAUUGACUUUGGCAAUAUUUCUUUUAAAAUAAAUUAUAUUUUGAACACAUGCAAAGGUGAAGAAAAAUAGUAUAAGGAAGGAUCCAAAUUAUUUUACUUAGUAAAAAAAAAGGUGAGAUUGUAUUUAAUUCUUAAUGUAGUGGUAAAUACAGCAUUAUUACUAUAAGCUAGCAGUAUCCUAUUUUACUUAUUGAAUUUAUUUCUUUAUUGAAAUCAUAUUGGAUUUAUUGCUUAAUGUGCCAUUUUCACUAUAGCACUUUCCAAAAUGCUUCCUAAAUGCUUAGUUUAUAGUCAAGAAAAACAUUUACUAGAUAACUACUUUGAAAUAACUACCUCAACCUUGCUUUCAUUCUCAAUGCCUUAGAAACAGACUUGCUUGCCUACAUUAAUUUUCUUUCAUGUUAUCAUUACUAUGAAGUCAUUCUAUAGAUAGGGUAAUAAGCAUCCUGGCAUGCAGGGAAAUAGCAUCUGUAAAACUAUAUGGCGCAGUAUGGUUGGGGUUCUUCCUCCCUCAGAACCUCAUUACGUAAUUUAAAAAUGUUUACUUAAGCUCCUUUGGGCUGCCUCCAUGGUAGCUAUGAAGUCACAGAAUUAGGAACAGUUUGGGGCCUGAUAACAAAGUCUAUUAGUUUAAUUUGAAUGCUGUGUCAGUUUCUUUUUUAUCAUUGCUGUAUAAGAACGUUUAAAAACAAAGACAUAUUUUAUUCAUUUUACUUUUUAAAACAUGUAUGCUUCUUCAAAAAUCUAAAUACACAGAGGGGUUCAUAAAUAUAUGUUUGCUCAUUAUCUAGAUGUGCUUAUUUUAAAAUUUGUAUUCCAUACUAUAUAUUCCCACAAUGUGAUUCUGACUCAAUAGAACUAUAAAUAAUUAUGCAGAAUGACCAAAACAUGUAGAGGUGUUAGCCUUCAGGAGAGCAUGAAUUAUUAAAAUUCUAUUUCUAAGCCAAGAAAGCACUAUUUAUUUCUAAGUCGUAAAUGAAAUCUUUCUAAGAGAACAUCAAAGAUGUAUAAAUUAUAAUAUCAGCUUUAGGAGAAUUUAAAAAUAUACUAGGUUAUAAGAAAAGAUUAUUUUAUUUUGUUUACUCAAAGAAAGGUAGUAUUUUCACUUCCUUAGAGAACUCUUGAGCCUCUUUACCAAGCAAAUAAUUAUGUGUACUGGUUUUAAAGAAAAAUAAUGCACUGUGCCUUGUAAACAUGGAAGAAGAGUCAUUUAAAUGUUGCAUAAAAUCAUCAAAUGGUUUAUCACCUUCAAGGCAACAUGCAGAUUCUUAUAAGAUACCUAAAAUCUCAACCAUCCCUUUUAGAACUACUGAGUUUUAUGAGUAAACAAGCCUAAGUCAAGAUCCUGAUACCUAAAAACAUAGCCCUUUUAAAGAAAUGUCAUCUUGUUUUAAUUAUGUAACAUGAAUUUGUUAUAAAAUUCUUUAUUGGGAUACUCUCUAUAGCAUUUUGCUUGUUAACCCUGAGAAGUAAAGACAUGUCACUGAUGGCCUUCCCAAUGAUCUAGUGAGGUACAAAGUCAGGGAUAAUUCAAGGAAGGAACAGCAAAAACUUUUAGGACCUGAUCAUCACUUUGGAAGUA
Nyctereutes procyonoides (raccoon dog) is the source of this 4018-nucleotide long non-coding RNA. RefSeq lists it as uncharacterized. The transcript has 8 exons. The record is from RefSeq and is a predicted model, not a curated record. NCBI's taxonomy places the organism in Eukaryota, Metazoa, Chordata, Mammalia, Carnivora, Canidae.